This is a long non-coding RNA of Papaver somniferum (opium poppy), 1989 nucleotides long. RefSeq lists it as uncharacterized. The record is from RefSeq and is a predicted model, not a curated record. The transcript is spliced from 11 exons. Lineage: Eukaryota; Viridiplantae; Streptophyta; Magnoliopsida; Ranunculales; Papaveraceae.
GCCGCCAUGGUCAAAAGUUGACCUUGACUCCGCAGUAACCCAGUUUUCGCCGAGUGCUUCAUAUGGAACAGAAGAAAUGAUAUUCUCCCAUCACUUCUCCUUCUCCUCACCUUUGUUCUUCAAACCCAAAUAGAGGAGUUUUGCCCCUUUUAAUGUUGAAGGUGCUGUACGCGGAAUUUCAGCUUGAAACUAAAAGGUUUAUUGUAUAGUCAAAGGUGAUUCCAUUUCAUUUUUGAAUUUAAUCAACAAACGAUUCGAAGUGAGUUAAAAUUAUAAUUGUUGUUGAAAGGUAUAAUAUGAGUAUGAUUCUUUCCUUCCCCUGUGAGAUUCAACUAUGGAAUUGAAAGGUAAAAGUUAUCUCUUCACUUGGCAUUUCAGAGCAAUCAUCAAGAAGCACUGAAAUAGCUAUUGAAUGAUGAGCCGUUGCGGAUAGAGGUUCUUAAAUUAGAUGAAGCUGCAGAAGAUGAACUCCAAAGCAAAUCAAAGACGUCAAAGCCCUCUAUCAAGAUCGUCACUGAGUAUGCAAAGUCUAGCCGCUCUUCUUGCAGGAAAUGCUCCGAGGAAAUUCCUGCGAAGUCGCUGAGAUUAGGUUCAAUUAGCAAAGAAUGAAGGCAUGACGUGACAUGAGUUGUGACCAAGAAGCACUGAAGAAGGUAAUGCAUGGAUGUGAUAAAUUGUAUAAAGAGGUUGUGGUUGAAGGAAGCGAUGGCCAAAGCUGGAGAGAAUUUGAAGUUUGCAAAACAGAUGAAACUAUGGUGGACAAUGGCAAGAAAGCUGAGUUGGAGAUAGCUUUCUCUAUUUUCGAUGUACAGAAACAGUACUUUUCGAUGUACAGAAACAGUACAAGGAAUCUACAUAGUCUCCAAAUUGGAGAGCUUUCAAACCACUUAUGUUUCUGGAGAGGGAUGAAGGUCUUCGCGAUUCAUGAAAAAUUGCUGCAUUUGAUUUUGAUGGUUGUCUUGCAAACAUCGAUGUGAGAAGAAUCGGUGUGGAUACAUGGUCCCUGAUGUUCCAAUCAAUACCAGAGAAGCUAAACAGCUUGUACAAAGAUACAAACUGGUGAUCUUUACCAAUAAAUCCAACAUUGAGCCCUGGAAGAAUAAGAGACAAGUGGCAAUUAAUUCUAAAAUUGGGUGGCUUAAAAAUUUCAUUGAUCGCGUCAAAGUCCCAAUUCAAGUAAGUUAGCAAAAUCUAGCAUAUAGAUUUUCUUCUGCACAGGCAUAUAACAUUAGCUAAUACAUGAUAGCCGGUAGCUAUCUUUUCAGAUAUUAGUCAGCCAGACUAGUCAGUUGUGAAAGUUCACUGUGGUUUGGAGCAUGUCAUCACCAUGUAGGACAAUGUCUGCCUCUUCAUAUGUGCCUUUUUCCACUGCCCAUAAAGUGUUGAGUCUUUUCUUUAUCUCUCUGUUUACGUAAUAUUGGUGUAAUCAUAGGCACGUCAACUUCUGAAUGUUUGCUGUUUUCCCAUUUUGUCUUACUCAUUUGGGAUAUUUAAUCCCUGCAGUGAUGAAUCUCUUUAUACAUUUUGAUUUUAGGUGUUCCUUUCUUAUUCUCCCAAAGAAAUAAUAUUUGCUUACAAUUUGUUUCCAUUUAUCUUGUUCUGUGAUUUUCGUAAAAUGGUUACUACUACUGAUCAACGCAUUUAGUCUGAUGGUUUUUAUGCCAACUUUAGGUCAUUUUACGUUGGUGUUGCAGGUGGGAGAAAGAAUGAUCAUAGUGAUGCUGAUAUCAAAUUUGCUAAGGUAAUUCUAGAUUCUAGUUCUUCUGUUUUUCUUUAAACACCAUACUUGUGCUUACAGGCUAUUGGGAUUGAAGUUUUAUCUUCCUGAAGAUUUUUUGCUGCCUGAAAGAUGUUUGGCACUUGUUUAUACCCUGAUUUUUUGGAACUUCUGUCAAUCCUCAUCGCCUCUAACUCUAUGUUUGUGUAAUUAGGUUGUGUUUGCUCUUACCCAACUCUUAAUGUUCAAUGAAACUGCUUUUUCAGUUUCAA